RNAcentral lists this ribosomal RNA (1165 nucleotides) under uncultured Flavobacteriaceae bacterium. Its description in RNAcentral is "bacterial SSU rRNA". It matches the Rfam family "Bacterial small subunit ribosomal RNA", at positions 364 to 1533 of the family's 1533-position model. The record is from RNAcentral. Lineage: Bacteria; Pseudomonadati; Bacteroidota; Flavobacteriia; Flavobacteriales; Flavobacteriaceae.
UUGGACAAUGGAGGCAACUCUGAUCCAGCGAUGCCGCGUGAAGGAAGACGGCCCUAUGGGUUGUAAACUUCUUUUAUACAGGAAGAAACCUUUCCACGUGUGGAAAGCUGACGGUACUGUAAGAAUAAGGAUCGGCUAACUCCGUGCCAGCAGCCGCGGUAAUACGGAGGAUCCAAGCGUUAUCCGGAAUUAUUGGGUUUAAAGGGUCCGCAGGCUGUUUGUUAAGUCAGGGGUGAAAUCCUACCGCUCAACGGUAGAACUGCCUUUGAUACUGGCAAACUUGAGUUAUUGUGAAGUAGUUAGAAUGUGUAGUGUAGCGGUGAAAUGCAUAGAUAUUACACAGAAUACCGAUUGCGAAAGCAGAUUACUAACAAUAUACUGACGCUGAGGGACGAAAGCGUGGGUAGCGAACAGGAUUAGAUACCCUGGUAGUCCACGCCGUAAACGAUGGUCACUAGCUGUUUGAUGUACAUUGGUACAUUGAGUGGCUAAGCGAAAGUGAUAAGUGACCCACCUGGGGAGUACGCUCGCAAGAGUGAAACUCAAAGGAAUUGACGGGGGCCCGCACAAGCGGUGGAGCAUGUGGUUUAAUUCGAUGAUACGCGAGGAACCUUACCAGGACUUAAAUGUAAGUUGCAUGAUUCAGAAAUGGAUCUUUCUUCGGACUACUUACAAGGUGCUGCAUGGUUGUCGUCAGCUCGUGCCGUGAGGUGUCAGGUUAAGUCCUAUAACGAGCGCAACCCCUAUCGUUAGUUGCCAUCAAGUAAAGUUGGGAACUCUAGCGAAACUGCCGGUGCAAACCGUGAGGAAGGUGGGGAUGACGUCAAAUCAUCACGGCCCUUACGUUCUGGGCUACACACGUGCUACAAUGGCCGGUACAGAAAGCAGCCACUAUGCGAAUAGGAGCUAAUCUUCAAAGCCGGUCUCAGUUCGGAUCGCAGCCUGCAACUCGACUGCGUGAAGCUGGAAUCGCUAGUAAUCGGAUAUCAGCCAUGAUCCGGUGAAUACGUUCCCGGGCCUUGUACACACCGCCCGUCAAGCCAUGGAAGCUUGGGGUACCUAAAGUCGGUGACCGAAAGGAGCCGCCUAGGGUAAAACUAGUAACUGGGGCUAAGUCGUAACAAGGUAGCCGUACCGGAAGGUGCGGCUGGAAUACCCCCUUUCU